This 74-nucleotide transfer RNA is filed under the name Caudoviricetes sp. Its description in RNAcentral is "tRNA-Pro". It matches the Rfam family "tRNA". Rfam says of the family: Transfer RNA (tRNA) molecules are approximately 80 nucleotides in length. Their secondary structure includes four short double-helical elements and three loops (D, anti-codon, and T loops). Further hydrogen bonds mediate the characteristic L-shaped molecular structure. tRNAs have two regions of fundamental functional importance: the anti-codon, which is responsible for specific mRNA codon recognition, and the 3' end, to which the tRNAs corresponding amino acid is attached (by aminoacyl-tRNA synthetases). tRNAs cope with the degeneracy of the genetic code in two manners: having more than one tRNA (with a specific anti-codon) for a particular amino acid; and 'wobble' base-pairing, i.e. permitting non-standard base-pairing at the 3rd anti-codon position. Lineage: Duplodnaviria; Heunggongvirae; Uroviricota; Caudoviricetes. The record is from RNAcentral.
CUGGGUGUAGCGCAGUUUGGUAGCGCACUAGACUGGGGGUCUAGGUGUCGCAGGUUCAAGUCCUGUCACUCAGA